RNAcentral lists this ribosomal RNA (783 nucleotides) under Saxomyces sp. RNAcentral describes it as "SSU rRNA". It matches the Rfam family "Eukaryotic small subunit ribosomal RNA", at positions 34 to 827 of the family's 1831-position model. Lineage: Eukaryota; Fungi; Ascomycota; Dothideomycetes. The record is from RNAcentral.
GUCUCAAAGAUUAAGCCAUGCAUGUCUAAGUAUAAGCAAUCUAUACGGUGAAACUGCGAAUGGCUCAUUAAAUCAGUUAUCGUUUAUUUGAUAGUACCUUACUACAUGGAUAACCGUGGUAAUUCUAGAGCUAAUACAUGCUAAAAACCCCGACUUCGGAAGGGGUGUAUUUAUUAGAUAAAAAACCAGCGCCCUUCGGGGCUCCUUGGUGAUUCAUAAUAACUCAACGAAUCGCAUGGCCUUGCGCCGGCGAUGGUUCAUUCAAAUUUCUGCCCUAUCAACUUUCGAUGGUAGGAUAGUGGCCUACCAUGGUAUCAACGGGUAACGGGGAAUUAGGGUUCUAUUCCGGAGAGGGAGCCUGAGAAACGGCUACCACAUCCAAGGAAGGCAGCAGGCGCGCAAAUUACCCAAUCCCGACACGGGGAGGUAGUGACAAUAAAUACUGAUACAGGGCUCUUUCGGGUCUUGUAAUUGGAAUGAGUACAAUUUAAAUCCCUUAACGAGGAACAAUUGGAGGGCAAGUCUGGUGCCAGCAGCCGCGGUAAUUCCAGCUCCAAUAGCGUAUAUUAAAGUUGUUGCAGUUAAAAAGCUCGUAGUUGAACCUUGGGCCUGGCUGGCCGGUCCGCCUCACCGCGUGUACUGGUCCGGCCGGGCCUUUCCUUCUGGGGAGCCGCAUGCCCUUCACUGGGCGUGCCGGGGAACCAGGACUUUUACUUUGAAAAAAUUAGAGUGUUCAAAGCAGGCCUUUGCUCGAAUACAUUAGCAUGGAAUAAUAGAAUAGGA